GUCAGUGUGGCUCAGUGGAUAGAGUGUCGGCCUGCAGACCGAAGGGUCACAGGUUCGAUUCUGGUCAAGGGCA
This is a non-coding RNA of Myotis davidii, 73 nucleotides long. The record is from Rfam. NCBI's taxonomy places the organism in Eukaryota, Metazoa, Chordata, Mammalia, Chiroptera, Vespertilionidae.